UCCGUAGGUGAACCUGCGGAAGGAUCAUUAUUGAAUUAAUGUAGAGUUGGUUGUAGCUGGCAUUUCCUUUAAUUUGGGGAUUGCAUGUGCACACCUUCUCUUUCAUCCACACACCCCUGUGCACUUGUGAGACAGAUUGCUUUUUGGAGGGGGAACUUUAUUGGACCCUUUCUUUUUGGCUCUCUGUCUACUUAAUUAAUAUAAACUCAAUUUAUUUUAAAAUGAAUGUAAUGGAUGUAACACAUCUAAUACUAAGUUUCAACAACGGAUCUCUUGGCUCUCGCAUCGAUGAAGAACGCAGCGAAAUGCGAUAAGUAAUGUGAAUUGCAGAAUUCAGUGAAUCAUCGAAUCUUUGAACGCACCUUGCGCUCCUUGGUAUUCCUUGGAGCAUGCCUGUUUGAGUAUCAUGAAAUCUUCAAAGUAAUAUCUUUUGUUAAUUCAAUUGGUUUUGCUUUGGUAUUGGAGGUCUAUUGCAGCUUCACACCUGCUCCUCUUUGUUCAUUAGCUGGAUCUCAGUGUUAUGCUUGGUUCCACUCAGCGUGAUAAGUUAUCUAUCGCUGAGGACACUUUUUCUACCCUGUAAAAAGAGUUUGGGAGGGGUGGCCAAGGUAAAUGCAGAUGAACCGCUUCUAAUAGUCCAUUGACUUGGACAAUCAAUAUUUAUGAUCUGAUCUCAAAUCAGGUAGGACUACCCGCUGAACUUAAGCAUAUCAAUAAGCGGAGGA
This 725-nucleotide ribosomal RNA is filed under the name Thanatephorus cucumeris. RNAcentral's name for it is "eukaryotic LSU rRNA". The stretch from base 254 to 407 matches the Rfam family "5.8S ribosomal RNA". Lineage: Eukaryota; Fungi; Basidiomycota; Agaricomycetes; Cantharellales; Ceratobasidiaceae. The record is from RNAcentral.